RNAcentral lists this ribosomal RNA (253 nucleotides) under uncultured bacterium. RNAcentral's name for it is "partial 16S ribosomal RNA". It matches the Rfam family "Bacterial small subunit ribosomal RNA", at positions 524 to 776 of the family's 1533-position model. The record is from RNAcentral.
UACGUAGGCAGCAAGCGUUGUUCGGAGUUACUGGGCGUAAAGAGUGUGUAGGCGGUUGGGUAAGUUCGGUGUGAAAUCUCCCGGCUUAACUGGGAGGGUGCGCCGAAGACUGCCUGGCUUGAGUGCGGGAGAGGAAAGCGGAAUUCCUGGUGUAGCGGUGAAAUGCGUAGAUAUCAGGAGGAACGCCUGCGGUGUAGACGGCUUUCUGGACCGUGUCUGACGCUGAGACACGAAAGUGUGGGUAGCAAACAGG